AACGAACGCUGGCGGCAUGCCUAACACAUGCCAGUCGAACGAUACCUUCGGGUCUAGUGGCGCACGGGUGCGUAACGCGUGGGAACCUGCCCUUAAGUUCGGAAUAACUCCCCGAAAGGGGUGCUAAUACCGGAUAAUUUCUUCGGACCAAAGAUUUAUCGCCUUUGUAUGGGCCCGCGUUGGAUUAGAUAGUUGGUAGGGUAAAAGCCUACCAAGGCGACGAUCCGUAGCUGGUCGGAGAGGAUGAUCAGCCACACUGGGACUGAGACACGGCCCAGACUCCUACGGGAGGCAGCAGUGGGGAAUAUUGGACAAUGGGCGAAAGCCUGAUCCAGCAAUGCCGCGUGAGUGAUGAAGGCCUUAGGGUUGUAAAGCUCUUUUACCCGGGAUGAUAAUGACAGUACCGGGAGAAUAAGCGCCGGCUAACUCCGUG
RNAcentral lists this ribosomal RNA (433 nucleotides) under uncultured bacterium. RNAcentral describes it as "partial 16S ribosomal RNA". It matches the Rfam family "Bacterial small subunit ribosomal RNA", at positions 29 to 507 of the family's 1533-position model. The record is from RNAcentral.